Molecule: ribosomal RNA, 497 nt
Filed under: uncultured bacterium
Lineage: Bacteria
Description: partial 16S ribosomal RNA
Rfam family: Bacterial small subunit ribosomal RNA
Source: RNAcentral
GACGAACGCUGGCGGCGUGCCUAAUACAUGCAAGUAGAACGCUGAGGAGAGGAGCUUGCUCUUCUUGGAUGAGUUGCGAACGGGUGAGUAACGCGUAGGUAACCUGCCUUGUAGCGGGGGAUAACUAUUGGAAACGAUAGCUAAUACCGCAUAACAAUGGGUGACACAUGGCAUUUAUUUGAAAGGGGCAAUUGCUUCACUACAAGAUGGACCUGCGUUGGAUUAGCUAGUAGGUGAGGUAAUGGCUCACCUAGGCGACGAUACAUAGCCGACCUGAGAGGGUUGUCGGCCACCCUGGGAAUGGGACACGGCCCAAACUCCUACGGGAGGCAGCAGGAGGGAAUCUUCGGCAAUGGGGGCAACCCUGACCGAGCAACGCCGCGUGAGUGAAGAAGGUUUUCGGAUCGUAAAGCUCUGUUGUGAGUCAAGAACGGGUGUGAGAGUGGAAAGUUCACACUGUGACGGUAGCUUACCAGAAAGGGACGGCUAACUACGUG